UUAGUUCAUGUUUUAAACGACCG
This 23-nucleotide small nuclear RNA is filed under the name Arabidopsis thaliana (thale cress). RNAcentral describes it as "snRNA_08455". The record is from RNAcentral. Lineage: Eukaryota; Viridiplantae; Streptophyta; Magnoliopsida; Brassicales; Brassicaceae.